GUUUUAGUAGUUUAUAAAAACAUUGGUCUUGUAAACCAAAAUAGGGUAAUAAUACCCCUUAAACC
Molecule: transfer RNA, 65 nt
Filed under: Sympetrum eroticum
Lineage: Eukaryota; Metazoa; Arthropoda; Insecta; Odonata; Libellulidae
Also listed under: 1 other name
Description: tRNA-Thr
Rfam family: tRNA
About the family: Transfer RNA (tRNA) molecules are approximately 80 nucleotides in length. Their secondary structure includes four short double-helical elements and three loops (D, anti-codon, and T loops).
Source: RNAcentral